GGGGCUAUAGCUCAGCUGGGAGAGCGCUUGCAUNNAGGUCAGCGGUUCGAUCCCGCUUAGCUCCACCA
RNAcentral lists this transfer RNA (68 nucleotides) under Pseudomonadota bacterium. Its description in RNAcentral is "Proteobacteria bacterium (activated sludge metagenome) tRNA-OTHER". It matches the Rfam family "tRNA". From Rfam's summary of the family: Transfer RNA (tRNA) molecules are approximately 80 nucleotides in length. The record is from RNAcentral. Lineage: Bacteria; Pseudomonadati; Pseudomonadota.